Molecule: ribosomal RNA, 324 nt
Filed under: uncultured bacterium
Lineage: Bacteria
Description: bacterial SSU rRNA
Rfam family: Bacterial small subunit ribosomal RNA
Source: RNAcentral
GACGAACGCUGGCGGCGUGCUUAACACAUGCAAGUCGAACGGAGUGCCCCAGAAAGAGGCUUCGGCCAAUGGAAGGGAACACUUAGUGGCGGACUGGUGAGUAACGCGUGAGGAACCUGCCUUCCAGAGGGGGACAACAGUUGGAAACGACUGCUAAUACCGCAUGAUAUAUUCUAAUCGCAUGGUUGGAAUAUCAAAGAUUUAUCGCUGGAAGAUGGCCUCGCGUCUGAUUAGCUAGUAGGCGGGGUAACGGCCCACCUAGGCAACGAUCAGUAGCCGGACUGAGAGGUUGACCGGCCACAUUGGGACUGAGAUACGGCCCAG